This is a long non-coding RNA of Eurytemora carolleeae, 496 nucleotides long. RefSeq lists it as uncharacterized. The record is from RefSeq and is a predicted model, not a curated record. The transcript has 3 exons. NCBI's taxonomy places the organism in Eukaryota, Metazoa, Arthropoda, Copepoda, Calanoida, Temoridae.
UAAAGGUUAGGUUUUCCGAACCAGUAUCUGCAGUAGCGUUAACAUCUCUGAACCCAGAGGUGUGUAUAUAUACUACAGGGUGUCUGGAGGGAUAUUACAGCUCCAGAUUAAAUCCCGCAACUGCAGAUAUACAGUGUACACAGAAUCAACUCCUUGAACAAGAUGAGAUUUUUGCAAGGAUGGAUACUGUUCUUGGUGUCUAGCUGUUUACUAGCCCAAGAUGAAUACAACCCACUCUACCUAGGCCGGUCAGUUUUAAAGGGAGGGUUCACAAUUCUAAAGAAAUAUUGUUUGAAAUUGGAUUUACAUUUUUUCAAUGUAAUCUUAUGUGUUCUGAAUGGAAAUGUGAAAUUCUUUUAAUAACAAUCAUUUAUACUAUCUACCUAUAUAAUAAAACAAGACAUCCAUAUAUAUGUUGCCUAUAGCCGGCCAAAUGGCUGGACCGAAUGGGCUGAAACUUUUUGUGGAAACUCAGUGGUGGCCAGAGGGUGUUUCA